This 237-nucleotide long non-coding RNA is filed under the name Mytilus galloprovincialis (Mediterranean mussel). The record is from RNAcentral. Lineage: Eukaryota; Metazoa; Mollusca; Bivalvia; Mytilida; Mytilidae.
CAAGUUGGCGGUAGUGACUCCUUUCAGUGCCAAAUAGUUUAAGUCAUACUCAAAGCUUAGUUAUAGUUCACAGUUGUAUAUUUCACUACCAAGUUGGCGGUAGUGACUCCUUUCAGUGCCAAAUAGUUUAAGUCAUACUCAAAGCUAAGUUUCAGUUCACAGUUCUAUAAUUAACUACCAAGUUGGCGGUAGUGACUCCAUUCUGUGCCAAAUAAUUUAUAUCAUAUAACUCAAUGC